RNAcentral lists this long non-coding RNA (731 nucleotides) under Nicotiana tabacum (common tobacco). RNAcentral's name for it is "long non-coding RNA (NTAB_LNC010993)". The record is from RNAcentral. Lineage: Eukaryota; Viridiplantae; Streptophyta; Magnoliopsida; Solanales; Solanaceae.
UAGCAAAACUCGAACAGCGCCGAUGAACCCGAAGUCACCUCGAACUCAGAUAAAAUCCAUGAGAAAAGGUCAACUCAAAAACUAAGUGUAUUUUUCGGAUUUUAGAAGUAGAAGCUGAUUUUCUUUUCCUGUAAUUUUAAGAAAAUAAACUAAAGAUUGAAUUAGACUCUUUUUUUUUGUAUAUUUGCUUUUCUGGAACUUAAACUCAGACUGAAGAUGAACCAAAUGAGAAGAAGAAGAAGAAGAAGAAGAAGAAGAAGAAGAAGAAUAAGAAGAACUCCCCCUUAGAGCCCUAAUUUUUUCACUUUUCUUCCUCUUUUUUUCUAAAAAUACCCCCCCCCCCCCACCCUAUAAAUCCCCAAACCCCCCCCCCCCCCCCCAAAUAUAUACUCCAUCUCGAAACUUCUAUCCUUGUCCUCCAAGAAAACCCGAAAAUCCUCUAAAAACCUCCAAAAUUUGAUUUUUCGACCGGUAAAGGACAACUGGAGGGAGUAGAUUGAGUGAGACUCAAUCCUACGCCCCCCAUUAAUUCUAAUCUAGUCUUUAAAUGAAAUUCGGGUGAGAUGAGCGCGUGAGGGAGAGGCGGGCUCAAUUUGUCAUAGUUUGUUAUGGAUUCGGCUGACAUGGAAGGAAUAUGAGGGGAGGGGACCAUGGAGGGUUCGUUUAUUGUGCGGUUUGGGUUGGUUUAGGGUGGCAGAAGGGUGUGAGGGAGAAGAGGGGUGCGGCUAGGG